CCAUGGUCGGGCCCUCCCGGAGAACGGCAGCGGCGCCGGGAAGAGGUAGAGGAGGAGGAGUUGCACGGAUUCAAGAGCUCGAGCUCCAAGAGAUGCAAUAAGCGAUUGUGUUUUGAGUCUUGGCAGCGCCAAAUCCAUGAGCAGAGGCUGGUGCAAACAGGAGAGUACAGGGCUGCACCUCUUUAACUUAGGUAUAUUUUCACAUCAGACUGGGUUUAUAGCUUCAUUCCUAUACAAAUACAUUGUUGCACCGAUUUUGCUAUAAGACAUUAGGGUGCUACUGUAGUGCACUAGGAGAUACAUUAUUAACACAGACCACUCCUUGCUUGCAGUGUUGCUUUAGGAGGGUGUCUGGGAACAACGGAAAGAAAGAACCAUUCAUGCAUUCAGCAUUCUCUUUGCCACUGUAAAAAAUUAUAAAAUAUUCACUUGAGUUUGGUUUUUGGCUUCGUCAAAGUAAGCAAUUUUAUGUCUGUGUAGAAUUGGAUGUGGUGGGUAGAAAAGCAAUGAAAUAUUUCCCCUGGUUAUGUUAAUUGUGGAUCGCGCCAUCUCAUGAAGAAUGAGUUCAGGACCUGCAUUUUCCUGUGACCUUGGCUAAAGCAGUUCCCUUUACACAGCUGUAUUUUGACUGUCGUUAAAAUGAAACUAAAGAUACCUUUUCUCAUUUCAA
This is a non-coding RNA of Lonchura striata (white-rumped munia), 670 nucleotides long. The record is from RefSeq and is a predicted model, not a curated record. Lineage: Eukaryota; Metazoa; Chordata; Aves; Passeriformes; Estrildidae.